This 255-nucleotide ribosomal RNA is filed under the name uncultured bacterium. Its description in RNAcentral is "partial 16S ribosomal RNA". It matches the Rfam family "Bacterial small subunit ribosomal RNA", at positions 524 to 776 of the family's 1533-position model. The record is from RNAcentral.
UACGUAGGGGGCAAGCGUUGUCCGGAAUCAUUGGGCGUAAAGAGCGUGUAGGCGGCUCGAUAAGUCCGCUGUGAAAGUCCAAGGGCUCAACCCUGGAAGGCCGGUGGAAACUGUCGGGCUAGAGUCCGGAAGAGGCGAGUGGAAUUCCCGGUGUAGCGGUGAAAUGCGCAGAUAUCAGGAGGAACACCGGUGGCGAAGGCGGGUCUCUGGGCCGAUACUGACGCUGAGGAGCGGAAGCGUGGGGGAGCGAACAGG